GCUGUAACACUCACUUUGGCAGCACAUAUAAUUGAAAUGAUACAGAGAUUAGCAUGGCCUCUGUGCAAGGAUAACACACAAAUUCGUGAAGUGUUCCAUAUUUUU
This is a small nuclear RNA of Equus asinus (donkey), 105 nucleotides long. NCBI's taxonomy places the organism in Eukaryota, Metazoa, Chordata, Mammalia, Perissodactyla, Equidae. The record is from Ensembl.